GGCACUAUAGCCAAGUGGUUAAGGCGAUAGAUUCGAAAUCUAUUACUCUCUGAGUGCGCAGGUUCAAAUCCUGCUGGUGUCG
Molecule: transfer RNA, 82 nt
Filed under: Armillaria ostoyae
Lineage: Eukaryota; Fungi; Basidiomycota; Agaricomycetes; Agaricales; Physalacriaceae
Rfam family: tRNA
About the family: Transfer RNA (tRNA) molecules are approximately 80 nucleotides in length. Their secondary structure includes four short double-helical elements and three loops (D, anti-codon, and T loops).
Source: RNAcentral